ACUACGGGCGGCAGCAGUGAGGAAUAUUGGUCAAUGGACGAGAGUCUGAACCAGCCAAGUAGCGUGAAGGAUGAAUGUCCUAUGGGUUGUAAACUUCUUUUAUAUGGGAAUAAAAUGAUCCACGUGUGGGAUUUUGUAUGUACCAUAUGAAUAAGGGUCGGCUACCUCCGUGCCAGCAGCCGCGGUAAUGCGGAGGAUACGAGCGUUGUCCGGAUUUGUUGGGUUUAACGGGAUCGUAGGUGGAAUGUUAAGUCAGUUGUGAAAGUUUGCGGCUCAACGUGAAAAUUGCAGUUGAAACUGGCAGUCUUGAGUAUAGUAGAGGUGGGCGGAAUUCGUGGUGUAGCGGUGAAAUGCUUAGAUAUCACGAAGAACUCCGAUUGCGAAGGCAGCUCACUGGACUGCAACUGACACUGAGGCUCGAAAGCGUGGGUAUCAAACAGGAUUAGAUACCCCGGUAGUC
Molecule: ribosomal RNA, 460 nt
Filed under: uncultured bacterium
Lineage: Bacteria
Description: partial 16S ribosomal RNA
Rfam family: Bacterial small subunit ribosomal RNA
Source: RNAcentral